This 253-nucleotide ribosomal RNA is filed under the name uncultured bacterium. RNAcentral describes it as "partial 16S ribosomal RNA". It matches the Rfam family "Bacterial small subunit ribosomal RNA", at positions 524 to 776 of the family's 1533-position model. The record is from RNAcentral.
UACGUAGGGGGCAAGCGUUGUCCGGAUUUAUUGGGCGUAAAGAGCGUGUAGGCGGCUAGGUAGGUCCGUUGUGAAAACUCGAGGCUCAACCUCGAGACGUCGGCGGAAACCCUCUGGCUAGAGUCCGGAAGAGGAGAGUGGAAUUCCUGGUGUAGCGGUGAAAUGCGCAGAUAUCAGGAAGAACACCCGUGGCGAAGGCGGCUCUCUGGGACGGUACUGACGCUGAGACGCGAAAGCGUGGGGAGCGAACAGG